CUGAGAUAAGCUGGCAUGGCAGUGAGAAGCAUCUUUUGCUGAGCCCGUUUGUGUUUUAUCAUCCACAGGGUCCAGGCUGCUGGGGGACACCGGUGGGGAGAUGAGAGGAACAAGCACUGGGGUGGGUCGAGGCCUCUCCGGGACCAGCUGCCCCAAAGAGUACGGCGGAUGCAUGCUUGUCUUGCCUUCCUUCAGAGCCCGCAGCUUCCACGUCUUCUUGAACCUUCACACAAACACACAAAGACAAACCACACAGAUUUUUAGCUCCCCCUGUGACAAGCCCACAGUGGAAAACACCAACAGCUGGCUGCCCUGGUGGCCUGGCGCGCCCAGGUUUCGGCUCAAAGGAGCAAUAACUAUCAGCUGUCUUUUUGUUUUUUGUUCAUUUGUUUGUUUUGAGACAGGAUCUUGCUCUGUUACCCAGGCUGGAGUGCUAUGGCGUGAUCUCAGCUCACAGCAGCCUCAACCUCCUUGGGCUCAGGUGAUUCUUCCACCUCAGCCUCCUGAGUAGCUGGGGCUACAGGUGUGUGCCACUACAUCCGACUGAUUUUUGUAUUUCUCAUAGAGACAGGGUUUUGCCAUGUUGCUCAGGCUGGUCUUGAAUUCCUGGGCUCGAGCAAUCCGCCCGCCUCGGCCUCCCAAAGUGCUGGGAUUACAGGUAUGAGCCGGCACACCCGACCCGACUGUUUUUAUCACCAGGGAGUUCACCAUACUCUGAAGAGUUGGUGAGUUUCCAAAACACUCCCAAGGAAAUAGAUGUGUAUUGUUGGUCCAAUUUACAAGUGAAGAAACUGAGGCACCAAAAAGUCACUUAACAGUCCCUUAAUUGUCCCAUUGCAGAGGCUGUUCAUUAGGUACACAUCAUCAGUCCCAAAUCCAUUUACUUAAAAAAAAGAAAAAUAGGCUGGGCGCAGUGGCUCACGCCUGUAAUCCCCACACAUUGGGAGGCCGAGGCGGGCGGAUCACCUGAGGUCAGGAGUUCAAGACCAGCCUGGCCAACGUGGUGAAACCCCGUCUCUACUAAAAAUACAAAAAUUAGCCAGGCGUAGUGGCAGGCACCUGUAAUCCCAGAUACUUGGGAGGCUGAGGCAGGAGAAUCGCUUGAACACGGGAGGCAGAGGUUGCAGUGAGCUGAGAUCGUGCCAUUGCACUUCAGCCUGGGCAACAAGAGUGAAACUCUGUCUCAAAAAUAAAAAAAAAGAAAAGGAAAGAAAAUAAAAAAAGAAAGCAUUCUUUUAGUAGGGAAAGAAAAUGGGCCUCUCGGUCAAAGUAAGGCUGGCAGGAGGCAGAUAAUUUGCAACCGCCAUGUAAUAGCAGGAAAAGGGUCCCACUGCUCCCUCAACUGCCUUCCUGUUCCUCUUGCUCCUAAUGUUGCUGACCUCCCCAGUUCUCCCUACGCCUCUCGGUCCACUCCCACCAUGCUGGUGAGUUCCCACAGACUCAACUGUCGGCACCACUGGGCACAAUUUGACUCAUCUGACAGGAAAGUCAAUGCUACACAGGAAGGAGAUAGACAUCUUUCUGAUCACAGCUUGGUUCACAGUGCUCCACUCUGGGCCCAAAGCCAGGGCUCAGUAACUGAGAAAAGUCACUUGACAGCUCAAAGAAAGAUGAAAUGGUGACAUGGAUCUUCAAAAGCACAGUCACGUCCCCUUCCUAAAGGGGCCCUUCAACUGUGCCAGGGUGGCCAGUGCCCCAAGCCUCAGCCCCUCCCUCUUGCUUCCCACUUUGUGACUGACAUGCCUCCUAACCCCAAAGUGGGAACAAGGUGGCCUCCCUCAAUUCCAUGGAAGAUCAGUUACUCCAGGAAGGGCUGGGAAAGAGGAGGGGAAACCAAUGUCAAAAACAAGAUUUGGGGAUUUUCCUUGGGUUUCUUUUUAUAUCGACAGGUUAUUCCUGUCCUUGUUAUGAUAAAUAAUUAAUAGUUGGCUCCAAAUCUGCCACUGGCUUUUAGCUUGGUAUCCAAAUGAAAUAAACAAUCUGCAGAAUAUUAUUUAGGGCUUCACCAUGUGGACACCACACAGGAAGAGAGCCCAGCAGGGCUGCUGACUGGAGCUAUGCUGAGUCAUUGAAUGGAGUUCUCCUGUAAGAAAGGACUGAGGAGAGAAUCAUUACACUCUGGAUUUCAAAGAAUUCAGACUCUCUGACCCAGGAAUUCUACUUCUGGGAAAAGAAAGAACAUAGCUAUAAAAAAAAAAAAACCCUUUAUGCACAAAGAUGUUCAACACAGUGUUUUUUAUAAAAGCAAAAUAAGGCCGGGUGUGGUGGCUCAUGCCUGUAAUCCCAGCACUUUGGGAGGCCAAGGUGGGUGGAUUACUUGAGGUCAGGAGUUCAAGACCAGCCUGGCCAAUGUGGCAAAACCCUGUCUCUACUAAAAAAGAAUUAGCCGGGUGUCGUGGCGCAUGCCUGUAAUCCCAGCUACUUGGGAGGCUGACGCAGGAGAAUUGCUUGAACCCAGGAAGCAGAGGUUGCAGUGUGCUGAGAUUGUGCCACUGCACUCCAGCCUGGGUGACAGAGUGAUGUGUCUCAAUAAAUAAAUAAAUUAAUUAAUUAAUUAAAUAAAAGCAAAAUAACACCCAAAUAAUUGGUAAUGUUUGGGUGCCACCAAUUAGGAGUAAUAGGAGGUUGAUUAAGAGAAAUUGGUAUAUCCACCUAAUACUACAGCUAAUGAAAGUGAGAUUUAUGGCCAGGCACGGUGGCUCACGCCUGUAAUCCCAGCACUUUGGGAGGCCUAGGCGGGCAGAUAACGAGGUCAGGAGUUCGAGACCAGCCUGACCAACAUUGUGAAACCCCACCUCUAUUAAAAAAUACAAAAAUUAGCCAGGCAUGGUAGCAGGCGCCUGUAAUCCCAGCUACUCAGGAGACCGAGGCAGGAGAACUGCUUGAACCCAGGAGGCGGAGGCUGCAGUGAGCUGAGAUCGCACCAUUGCAUUCCAGCCUGGGCAAUAAGAAUGAAACUCCGUCUCAAAAAAAAAAAAAAAAGUCUGAGAUUUACAAGAAUUUGUACUAAUGUGAAAGAAUGCCUGUGUUAUAGUGCUAAGUGUGAAAGGCAGGAUGCAGAGCUGAGGAUACAGAAUAAUCAUGGCUGUGUAAAAACAAACAAGAAACUAGGCAGAGGAAAAAGACUCAGGAGAUUUGUCUAAAUAUUAAGUGUUCUUGAUCUGGGUGUUGAUUGUAAAACCAUCUCCACAGGGUUGACAAAAAUUGCAUGCUGGGUUCUGGACAGAAAUAUAUUAAUAGUUAUAAUGAAGCAGUAAUCAGGCUGCACUUUGGCCCAUUUCCUUAUUGCAAAAAGUCACGUAGCCCUAGACACUGACCAUCUGCAUCCCCGUUGUUUCUGUAGAUAGGAUUUCUGACAUUAGGAUCCUAAGACUUUUGUUUAAGGAUCACUUAAGAUGUUUUACGGACCCCUAAUUCCGGCAACCAGUUUGAAGACCCUCACAGAGGAACGGGAUUGGCAUGAGAAGACAGCUUCUUCAUCUCCUUGUCCCAGGACCUCACCCUACACCCUGCAACCAGUCAACCAUCUCCACACUUUGGCCCAGUCCAACAUUUUUACAACCCUAGCCCCAAAUUCCUUGGGGAGAUGGAUUUGAGGUGUGGGCAGAGGAUUACCUAGGUGCCGAGGCAAGACACUGAAGGCACAAACUGUUUCAGUAUAAUAAAGAAAAUAGAAUAAGAAUAGUCAUAAUACAAAUUAGAUACAGAGAUGAUCAUGAACAAUUAUCAAUCAUUAUUAUAAACAUUAUUAAUCAUUAGCUUUUAAUAUUACUCUUUGUUCCAUUACUAAUAUAACCUAGGAAUAACCGGCGGGUAUAGGGUCAGGUGCUGAAGGGACAUUGGGAGAAGUGACCUAGAAGGCAAGAGGUGAACCCUCUGUCAUGCCGGCAUAAGGGCCGCUGGAGCGCUCCUUGGUCAAGCGGUAACGCCAGUGUCUGGGAAGGCACCUGUUACUUAGCAGACCGGCAAAAGGGAGUCUCCUUUCCUUGGAGGAGUCAGGGAACACUGUCCUCCACCAGCUUCUUGUGGAAGGCUGGAUAUUAUCCAGGCCUGCCCGCAGUCAUCCAGAGGCCUAAACCCCUCCCUGUGGUGCUGUGCUUCAAGGGUCAUGCUCCUUGUCCACUUUCAUGCUCCUCCCGCACUCCUGGUUCCUCUUCGAAGCUCAUAGUAGAUAGCAGUAGAAGAAAUAGUGAAAGUCUUAAAAGUCUUUGAUCUUUCUUAUAAGUGCAGAGAAGAAAACCCUGACAUAUGCUGCCUGCUCUCUGCUUCAGCUACCUAAAAGGGAAGGGCCCCCGAUCCUGUAAUCACAUGACUUGCUUCACCUUGUCAAUCACUUAGAAGAUUUACCUUCCUUACCCUGCCUCCUCGUCUUGUAUGCAAAAAAUAUCAGCGAGCCCAGACGUUCGGGGCCACUACCGGUCUCUGCAUCUUGAUAGUAGUGGUCCCGCAGGCCCAGGUGCUUUCUCUUUAUCUCUUUGUCUUGUGUCUUUAUUUAUUACAAUCUCUCGUCUCCACACACGGGGAGAACACCCGCUAAGCUCCGUACGGCUGGACCCUACAGAGGUUUCCUCCCAUCUCCUCCUUUGGUGACCCUCUGAUUAAACCUCUUUCUCUGCUGCAACCUGGUGUCUUGGCAUCUUGACUUGCCACGUGCAUCUCAUUAUAAUGACAUGGGUGUGUACACUUCAUGGCGCUGUACACAUGAUGUGGGAACUUUUCUGUAUGUUUGUUAGACUUCAAUCACAUUUACAUUUUGAAAAUUAACAGUGGCUCUCUUUGGAUGACAUAUAUUUUUUUCCAUUUGUCAUUAUUUAGCAAAUCACCAGUAAUAAUCACAUAUCACAUACAUAUGUAUGUGUGUAUGUAUAUAUUUUUUAAGUCCCUAUUGACCUAAUAUGGAAGCAAUCUCUGUCCUCAGUUUUUUUUUCAAAGUAACUGAAUGGGUAACAAAGAAAGGUGAGCUUUCCUUUUGAAAUAUUCUAAGGCGAGUAUGAAUUCUUUUCUGAAAAUCACUAAACUCAAAGAGGACUUUGAAACCAGCCAACCUGAGGGUGUCCAGAGCUGGCCUGGAUGGGUGUGAGCAGGGCCUGGGGGCUGGAGAGGACACAGGGUGGGCAGAAAGAAGAAACAGAUGAGCUCUCUGCUGCCUUCUUUUGCACCUUGACCUCCACCUUUUAUCUAUUUUACAUAUUUGGGCUUCAAAAAGUUUCAUUUAAAGAAAAGAUUCUGUAGCUAAAAGAAGUUUUUUAAAAUGCUCAAAACUCUCACUCUUUUUUAGAAAGAUAUGUAGAAACCAAGUUGCCACCCCUUUUACCCCAAAGGCCACAGACAGUGCCCACUGCACCCAGCCACCUCCAUGGCCCGGAACACCAUGAAAGUCCCUCUGCCCGUCCCCCAGCUGUGGAGGUAGCAAAAGCUCUGAUUUUAAAAUACCGGAAUGAUACACUACAUUCAAAACGAAAUGAUGUUUAAGUCAUAGGCAUACACAUAGGAAGUCCUCACUUAAUGAUGUAAGCUCAUUCUAGAUAAAUAUGCAGAAAAAUAAUUCUCUACUAGGAGAAUUCUAUUUUCCCAGUGCCUGAUAACCUAAAAUACAGAGAAUCAGUGGGGGACAGAGAAUAGGGUGGGAGGAAUUGGCCCCUGUAAGAUGGCAAGCCUUUUCGAUAGCAUAUUUAAAUUUUAAAAAAUCAUCUAUGAUUCAGAAAAAAAGAAUGAGUAAUAAAAAACAAAGAAAAAAAUCACUGAUAUUGCUGGAAAAAGAUUUAGGGCCAUACAAAAAAAUAUAGUAUACACUGGCAGGAUGAAGUCAACCUCUCACACUUCACCUACUGUAAAUGUGGCCAUCCCAUGGUAACCAUGGUUCAGCCAUUUUGGCAGCCCAGAGCCCCACAGUAUUUCUAAGUUUAUACUCUUUGCUAGACAGAGGGGAUUUGGGGAAUAGAAGGCUUCUUCAUCACUUGAAAUAACUGGCCUCUUUCCAAACAAAUUUGCCUUAUACAGAAGAAAAUGGAAACUCACUAGGCUAGAAAAUAAAUUCCUGGCAUGUUCUCAGCACAGGGCACUGGCCCUGUCUGUGCCUGCAGGGACUCUGGUUGUUUAGCAACCAGCCAGUGUCCAAGCAUCAUCAGCAGAAUAGCAAACCAGGUCUGUUCCCAACCUAAUGCUCCUCUAUUAGCCAUUACAACACACCAAGAUGGUGCUGCAUGUUAAGGGCCAGUGGUGGGCCAAUGGGACCAGCUGGGCCCAGCUCUUAGCCAAUAGCAGGUGGGGACCAUGGGCAGGGACUCUCAGGGUGUGUGUUCUUGCUUGUCCUUGGGCAAGUCAUUUUACCUUUGGGGGCUGUUUCCUCAUUUAUAAAAUGAAAGAGUUUGACUAGAUGACCCUUAAGGCCCUAUAGAAAUAGCAGGAGUUUUUGGUUUGAUUCUUGGCCUUCUUCUUCAUCUUUUUUUUUUUUUUGAGAUGGAGUCUCCUUCUGCUGCCCAGGCUGGAGUGCAGUGGCGCGAUCUCGGCUCACUGCAACCUCUGCCUCCCGGGUUCAAGCGAUUCUCCUACCUCAGCCUCCCAAGUAGCUGGGAUUACAGGUGUGCACCACCAUGCCCAGCUAAUUUUUGUAUUUUUAGUAGAGACAGGGUUUCUCCACGUUGGCCAGGCUGGUCUCGAACUCCUGACCUCAGGUGAUCCACUUGCCUUGGCCUCCCAAAGUGCUGGGAUCACAGGCGUGAGCCACCGCGCCUGGCCUAUUCUUACUAGCUGUUAUCGCACCAUCUCUUUUAGCUUCAGUUUCCUCCCGUCAAAUGUAUAUCAUAUCUACUCUACUCUAUAGGGCCUGUGGUGGGUUAUGAGAAAAGUCUGUUGAAGCCCUAACGUAGACACAGAGCCAGAACACAGGAGGGUAUACCUAGGGUGAGGCAAGGAAUCCUUUGGUAGGCAGGAGGUGAACCCGUGGAUGCUGACAUGGCCCCUCACUGGCCAAAAAAUAUAACAGGCUUUGCAUCCUCCAAGGAGCUACCUCUACUCAUUAAGAAUCUUAUCUUGCACGCACCCUUCAGACGGCUUGUAAUCUACUUCAUUGAAAAAGCAAAGUGAAGGCCGGGCACGGUGGCUCACGCCUG
Molecule: long non-coding RNA, 7112 nt
Filed under: Homo sapiens (human)
Lineage: Eukaryota; Metazoa; Chordata; Mammalia; Primates; Hominidae
Description: HSALNT0015538
Source: RNAcentral